Molecule: ribosomal RNA, 310 nt
Filed under: Escherichia coli
Lineage: Bacteria; Pseudomonadati; Pseudomonadota; Gammaproteobacteria; Enterobacterales; Enterobacteriaceae
Also listed under: 1 other name
Description: bacterial SSU rRNA
Rfam family: Bacterial small subunit ribosomal RNA
Source: RNAcentral
AAAUUGAAGAGUUUGAUCAUGGCUCAGAUUGAACGCUGGCGGCAGGCCUAACACAUGCAAGUCGAGCGGCAGCGGGAAGUAGCUUGCUACUUUGCCGGCGAGCGGCGGACGGGUGAGUAAUGUCUGGGAAACUGCCUGAUGGAGGGGGAUAACUACUGGAAACGGUAGCUAAUACCGCAUAAUGUCGCAAGACCAAAGAGGGGGACCUUCGGGCCUCUUGCCAUCAGAUGUGCCCAGAUGGGAUUAGCUAGUAGGUGGGGUAACGGCUCACCUAGGCGACGAUCCCUAGCUGGUCUGAGAGGAUGACCAG